UACGGAGGGGGCUAGCGUUGUUCGGAAUUACUGGGCGUAAAGCGCACGUAGGCGGCUUUGCAAGUUAGAGGUGAAAGCCCGGGGCUCAACUCCGGAAUUGCCUUUAAAACUGCAUCGCUAGAAUUGUGGAGAGGUAAGUGGAAUUCCGAGUGUAGAGGUGAAAUUCGUAGAUAUUCGGAAGAACACCAGUGGCGAAGGCGACUCACUGGACACAUAUUGACGCUGAGGUGCGAAAGCGUGGGGAGCAAACAGG
This 253-nucleotide ribosomal RNA is filed under the name uncultured bacterium. RNAcentral's name for it is "partial 16S ribosomal RNA". It matches the Rfam family "Bacterial small subunit ribosomal RNA", at positions 524 to 776 of the family's 1533-position model. The record is from RNAcentral.